GCACAAGCGGUGGAGCAUGUGGUUUAAUUCGACGCAACGCGAAGAACCUUACCUGGGCUCGAAAUGUAGUGGACCGGGGUAGAAAUAUCCCUUCCCAGCAAUGGGCUGCUAUAUAGGUGCUGCAUGGCUGUCGUCAGCUCGUGUCGUGAGAUGUUGGGUUAAGUCCCGCAACGAGCGCAACCCUUAUUACCAGUUGCCAUCAUUUAGUUGGGCACUCUGGUGAGACCGCCUCGGAUAACGGGGAGGAAGGCGGGGAUGACGUCAAGUCCUCAUGGCCUUUAUGUCCAGGGCUACACACGUGCUACAAUGGCCGGUACAAACCGUCGCAAACCCGUGAGGGGGAGCUAAUCGGAAAAAGCCGGCCUCAGUUCGGAUUGGAGUCUGCAACUCGACUCCAUGAAGCUGGAAUCGCUAGUAAUCGCAGAUCAGAACGCUGCGGUGAAUACGUUCCCGGGC
This 456-nucleotide ribosomal RNA is filed under the name uncultured bacterium. RNAcentral describes it as "bacterial SSU rRNA". It matches the Rfam family "Bacterial small subunit ribosomal RNA", at positions 923 to 1379 of the family's 1533-position model. The record is from RNAcentral.